Molecule: ribosomal RNA, 2922 nt
Filed under: Bacillus anthracis (anthrax bacterium)
Lineage: Bacteria; Bacillati; Bacillota; Bacilli; Caryophanales; Bacillaceae
Description: 23S ribosomal RNA
Rfam family: Bacterial large subunit ribosomal RNA
Source: RNAcentral
GGUUAAGUUAGAAAGGGCGCACGGUGGAUGCCUUGACACUAGGAGUCGAUGAAGGACGGGACUAACGCCGAUAUGCUUCGGGGAGCUGUAAGUAAGCUUUGAUCCGAAGAUUUCCGAAUGGGGAAACCCACCAUACGUAAUGGUAUGGUAUCCUUAUCUGAAUACAUAGGGUAAGGAAGACAGACCCAGGGAACUGAAACAUCUAAGUACCUGGAGGAAGAGAAAGCAAAUGCGAUUUCCUGAGUAGCGGCGAGCGAAACGGAACAUAGCCCAAACCAAGAGGCUUGCCUCUUGGGGUUGUAGGACAUUCUAUACGGAGUUACAAAGGAACGAGGUAGACGAAGCGACCUGGAAAGGUCCGUCGUAGAGGGUAACAACCCCGUAGUCGAAACUUCGUUCUCUCUUGAAUGUAUCCUGAGUACGGCGGAACACGUGAAAUUCCGUCGGAAUCUGGGAGGACCAUCUCCCAAGGCUAAAUACUCCCUAGUGAUCGAUAGUGAACCAGUACCGUGAGAGAAAGGUGAAAAGCACCCCGGAAGGGGAGUGAAAGAGAUCCUGAAACCGUGUGCCUACAAAUAGUCAGAGCCCGUUAACGGGUGAUGGCGUGCCUUUUGUAGAAUGAACCGGCGAGUUACGAUCCCGUGCGAGGUUAAGCUGAAGAGGCGGAGCCGCAGCGAAAGCGAGUCUGAAUAGGGCGUUUAGUACGUGGUCGUAGACCCGAAACCAGGUGAUCUACCCAUGUCCAGGGUGAAGUUCAGGUAACACUGAAUGGAGGCCCGAACCCACGCACGUUGAAAAGUGCGGGGAUGAGGUGUGGGUAGCGGAGAAAUUCCAAUCGAACCUGGAGAUAGCUGGUUCUCCCCGAAAUAGCUUUAGGGCUAGCCUUAAGUGUAAGAGUCUUGGAGGUAGAGCACUGAUUGGACUAGGGGUCCUCAUCGGAUUACCGAAUUCAGUCAAACUCCGAAUGCCAAUGACUUAUCCUUAGGAGUCAGACUGCGAGUGAUAAGAUCCGUAGUCAAAAGGGAAACAGCCCAGACCGCCAGCUAAGGUCCCAAAGUGUGUAUUAAGUGGAAAAGGAUGUGGAGUUGCUUAGACAACUAGGAUGUUGGCUUAGAAGCAGCCACCAUUUAAAGAGUGCGUAAUAGCUCACUAGUCGAGUGACUCUGCGCCGAAAAUGUACCGGGGCUAAAUACACCACCGAAGCUGCGGAUUGAUACCAAUGGUAUCAGUGGUAGGGGAGCGUUCUAAGGACAGUGAAGUCAGACCGGAAGGACUGGUGGAGUGCUUAGAAGUGAGAAUGCCGGUAUGAGUAGCGAAAGACGGGUGAGAAUCCCGUCCACCGAAUGCCUAAGGUUUCCUGAGGAAGGCUCGUCCGCUCAGGGUUAGUCAGGACCUAAGCCGAGGCCGACAGGCGUAGGCGAUGGACAACAGGUUGAUAUUCCUGUACCACCUCUUUAUCGUUUGAGCAAUGGAGGGACGCAGAAGGAUAGAAGAAGCGUGCGAUUGGUUGUGCACGUCCAAGCAGUUAGGCUGAUAAGUAGGCAAAUCCGCUUAUCGUGAAGGCUGAGCUGUGAUGGGGAAGCUCCUUAUGGAGCGAAGUCUUUGAUUCCCCGCUGCCAAGAAAAGCUUCUAGCGAGAUAAAAGGUGCCUGUACCGCAAACCGACACAGGUAGGCGAGGAGAGAAUCCUAAGGUGUGCGAGAGAACUCUGGUUAAGGAACUCGGCAAAAUGACCCCGUAACUUCGGGAGAAGGGGUGCUUUCUUAACGGAAAGCCGCAGUGAAUAGGCCCAAGCGACUGUUUAGCAAAAACACAGCUCUCUGCGAAGCCGUAAGGCGAAGUAUAGGGGGUGACACCUGCCCGGUGCUGGAAGGUUAAGGAGAGGGGUUAGCGUAAGCGAAGCUCUGAACUGAAGCCCCAGUAAACGGCGGCCGUAACUAUAACGGUCCUAAGGUAGCGAAAUUCCUUGUCGGGUAAGUUCCGACCCGCACGAAAGGUGUAACGAUUUGGGCACUGUCUCAACCAGAGACUCGGUGAAAUUAUAGUACCUGUGAAGAUGCAGGUUACCCGCGACAGGACGGAAAGACCCCGUGGAGCUUUACUGUAGCCUGAUAUUGAAUUUUGGUACAGUUUGUACAGGAUAGGCGGGAGCCUUUGAAACCGGAGCGCUAGCUUCGGUGGAGGCGCUGGUGGGAUACCGCCCUGACUGUAUUGAAAUUCUAACCUACGGGUCUUAUCGACCCGGGAGACAGUGUCAGGUGGGCAGUUUGACUGGGGCGGUCGCCUCCUAAAGUGUAACGGAGGCGCCCAAAGGUUCCCUCAGAAUGGUUGGAAAUCAUUCGUAGAGUGCAAAGGCAUAAGGGAGCUUGACUGCGAGACCUACAAGUCGAGCAGGGACGAAAGUCGGGCUUAGUGAUCCGGUGGUUCCGCAUGGAAGGGCCAUCGCUCAACGGAUAAAAGCUACCCCGGGGAUAACAGGCUUAUCUCCCCCAAGAGUCCACAUCGACGGGGAGGUUUGGCACCUCGAUGUCGGCUCAUCGCAUCCUGGGGCUGUAGUCGGUCCCAAGGGUUGGGCUGUUCGCCCAUUAAAGCGGUACGCGAGCUGGGUUCAGAACGUCGUGAGACAGUUCGGUCCCUAUCCGUCGUGGGCGUAGGAAAUUUGAGAGGAGCUGUCCUUAGUACGAGAGGACCGGGAUGGACGCACCGCUGGUGUACCAGUUGUUCUGCCAAGGGCAUAGCUGGGUAGCUAUGUGCGGAAGGGAUAAGUGCUGAAAGCAUCUAAGCAUGAAGCCCCCCUCAAGAUGAGAUUUCCCAUAGCGUAAGCUAGUAAGAUCCCUGAAAGAUGAUCAGGUUGAUAGGUUCGAGGUGGAAGCAUGGUGACAUGUGGAGCUGACGAAUACUAAUAGAUCGAGGACUUAACCAU